CUGUCUCUUUCCACUGCUGGUCCUCCUUUCCACUCCAGUCCUCUGGAUAUCGAGGUGCUGGGGAAGUUCUGGCUUUGGAGUCAUUCAGACCAGGAAGAAUGGGAGCCAGGUCACCUCCAUCUAUGAUCCCAGCGCCCAGCAUAUAUGAAGUUGUUAGUGAACAAUUCCUGAAUGAUUGAAUGAUUAAAUGAGUGCAGAACAGCAA
Molecule: long non-coding RNA, 205 nt
Organism: Lontra canadensis (Northern American river otter)
Lineage: Eukaryota; Metazoa; Chordata; Mammalia; Carnivora; Mustelidae
Exons: 2
Source: RefSeq, a predicted model, not a curated record